Molecule: long non-coding RNA, 707 nt
Organism: Sceloporus undulatus (fence lizard)
Lineage: Eukaryota; Metazoa; Chordata; Lepidosauria; Squamata; Phrynosomatidae
Exons: 3
Source: RefSeq, a predicted model, not a curated record
UUCUGGACCUGAACGAGUCUUUGCAGAAAUGAUCUGUGGUCACAUAGCAACAGCAACUGCCCAUGGGCAAUGCCCACAACAACCCACAAUAUUUUCAGAAGAAAUACACACAUACACAUGGCAGACCACACACAUAAUGUUUCUUAGUCUCUUUUAAAAGCUGUGUCCCUAUCUCUCUCUCUCACUCUCUCUCUUUCUCUGGAUCCUUUAAGAAAGAAUAACCACUUGUUUUUGUCUGCUAUUUAGAGACGGUUAAAUUUAGUUCCUGGACAGAAGGUUUUUCUUUUUCCCUUGUAUUUCCUUGCUCCCUCCCCUUGAUGUAAAUUGCCUGAGACAGUUCAUAAUAACAUGGCUUAGUGUUUUUUAGGUACCAACCAUCCAAGCCAGUGAAAUUCCCGGGGGGCUUCGGUGUGUUCAGGUCUUUGCAAAUCAGAAAAACAAGCUGGAUUACCCUGGAGGUGGUUCUUUCAGGCUUUAAGAGUCUUUGUCUUAAAGGCCGGAAGGAAUGGCCUCUGUCUGCACAGAUGUCCCUCCAUACCAUCUUAACCGAGAACAACAACAGCAACAACAAAAGUUGCUCCAGUAAGGAAAGAAAAAGGGCCAUGUUGGUUUGCUUGGAAGUGAGCCGGACGAUGAAGGAAGCGGAUGGGAAGAAAAACCAAGCACAUUUCAGUGUCACAUUUUGAAUGCCCUUUGGGCUUUCCACC